UACGAAGGGGGCUAGCGUUGCUCGGAAUCACUGGGCGUAAAGGGUGCGUAGGCGGGUCUUUAAGUCAGGGGUGAAAUCCUGGAGCUCAACUCCAGAACUGCCUUUGAUACUGAAGAUCUUGAGUUCGGGAGAGGUGAGUGGAACUGCGAGUGUAGAGGUGAAAUUCGUAGAUAUUAGGAAGAACACCAGUGGCGAAGGCGACUACCUGGCCUGUUCUUGACGCUGAGGCGCGAAAGCUAGGGGAGCAAACGGG
RNAcentral lists this ribosomal RNA (253 nucleotides) under uncultured bacterium. RNAcentral describes it as "partial 16S ribosomal RNA". It matches the Rfam family "Bacterial small subunit ribosomal RNA", at positions 524 to 776 of the family's 1533-position model. The record is from RNAcentral.